GGACUAUCUGAAUGUGGUGAUCUCUAUACUUCCCAGGCCCUCCAGGAAAAGACUCACUGAACAUUGAGUUCAGUUCAGAGCUGCUUUCCUGAUUUCCAAGCCCACCAUGGAAUUUUUCCUGCUUAACUAAACGAAUGAUUCUUGCGACUCCAUAAUGUCAGGUGGCAUUGCCAGAAAAUAUACUGAACAGAGACUAAAAAGGGAGCAGCAGGUUGUAAUGAAAUGUCUUGUCUUGUAUUGAAGCAGUAGAGUCACAUGAUUCUCCAUGUAUCCUUUAAGCUAGUAAUAAAAAAUUACUCAUCUUGCCAGCCUUAGUAACAAAUGGCUGAUAGUCUAAAAGGUCUGUUUUGUGACAGAAAAAUACAGCACUAAGUAUACCAGUUGCUUGAUCAGAGAUUCACUUCUGAAAUUGCAAGAUAAGGAGGAAUGAUCUGUCUUUACAAUGCAACUCCAAGGUGGUUCUUCUUUUUUUUUUUUUUAAAGUGCUGCAAAGUGAAAACAUCUUCUAGUGCCAAUACCAGAUCUUGCUCAUAUCACCUUAGGAAAGUUUUUAAAUGUUUAAUAAAACACUUCUGGGCCAUGGAAUGGAAAGCGCUACAGGAAGUAUUAUUUACAUUUAGUGUUAUCUGUAGGGAUCAUGUGGAGGAAAAAAAUUGUCACCUCUUAUGUCUACACUGCCCCCACCCCAAAAAAAAAAAGACCCAGGGCAGCAAGUCUCGGAGUCCAGGUCAACUGAUUUUGGCUUGUGGGGUCGUGCUGUGGGGUUAAAACCAGCAGUAUAGACAUUUGGGCUUGGGCUGGAGCCUGGCUCUGACACCCAGCUAGUUGGGGAGGGACUCAGAGCCCAGGCUCAAGCUCAAACCUGAACAUCUACACUGCUCUUUCUAGCCCCAUAGUGUGAUGCCUGCAAGGCCCAGGUCAGUUGACCCAGACUGAGGCUUGCUGCCAUGGGUUUGGGGUGGGUUUUUGUUUGUUUGCAGUGUGGACAUACCCUUAAGAACAAGGAAAGAG
Dermochelys coriacea (leatherback sea turtle) is the source of this 1011-nucleotide long non-coding RNA. RefSeq lists it as uncharacterized. The transcript has 3 exons. Lineage: Eukaryota; Metazoa; Chordata; Testudines; Dermochelyidae. The record is from RefSeq and is a predicted model, not a curated record.